AAUCCGCUAAGGAGUGUG
Molecule: small nuclear RNA, 18 nt
Filed under: Arabidopsis thaliana (thale cress)
Lineage: Eukaryota; Viridiplantae; Streptophyta; Magnoliopsida; Brassicales; Brassicaceae
Description: snRNA_01496
Source: RNAcentral